Molecule: long non-coding RNA, 3471 nt
Filed under: Polistes canadensis
Lineage: Eukaryota; Metazoa; Arthropoda; Insecta; Hymenoptera; Vespidae
Description: uncharacterized LOC106783967, transcript variant X2
Source: RNAcentral
ACCGGCAUCGCACGGCUUUCACCCAUCCAUCCAUCCAUCCAUCCAUCCAUCCAUCUUCGUUCGAAGCGCACAAGUUUUUUGCUACGAACUUACUAAGAACCUUCUAAAGCAAAGCGACAUAAGUCACGUUCCACGAACGUUCAAAAUUUUACUUAAAAUAGAUAAGACCAAUUGUGUUUUUAACAAAUUCGACAAAAAAAAAAAAACAACGCAAUCUUUAUAAUAUACGUAAACAUCAACUAAACGUGUGUGUGAGUUAGAUUAACGUUCCUUCCGAGUGUCCAUUAUACGUAAAAUAAAACUUUAAUCGCGUUUGGUGUAAGCUUACCAACGAAAAUGACAUUUUCUUGGUGGUGUGUUUUCGUUUAAUAAAAAAAAAAAAAAAGGGAAAAAAAAUAAAAACUUAAAUAAAGACCGUAUCCCUCGUUUUCUUCGUCUGAAACGUGACAUUUACAAUUUCUACGCGAUGUUUUCUGACGACCAUCUGCCUACCCUACAAAAUGUUGUUAGAAGCUACUACCACAACGUUCUAAGAUUAUAGAAAGAGUCAGUUUUAAUAGAAUCUCCAUUUUGGGUGGGCCCCGAUCGGAUGACAAAGGAUCCAGGAGUCUCGUCGAUCGAUUCGAAGGCUCACAAUCGUGAGCAUGUUUUAUUUAUCGGAAUAAUUCUGAAAGAACGUGGGGGUUGUUCAACGAGUUACUCGCUGACCACGAAUAAAUACGAAGAAGAAGAAGAAGAAGACAACAACGAACACAACGAUGUAACAACGACAUAGACGACCACCACUACGACAAAUAUAAGAAAGAGGGAAAAGAUCGAGGUUAGUUUCUCGUUGUAACGAGCCUUCGAGAAUCUCGGAAGCACAAAAGUAUUUCUCUCUUUCUCUCUCUCUCUCUUUCAUUUUCUCCUUCUCUAAUUUUUUCUCUCUCUCUUUCCUUCGCAUUUUAAAAUCUCACCGUUAUCUAACAGUUUCGGCGCAAUCUCCUAACGGUCCUCGCGUUUCUACGGACAAUGAAAUGCCUCUGAAAAUAUGUAAUAUUAUCGUCAACAACCAAGGUGGACCUUUUGUAAGAAACCAGUCGCUUGCUUGCUUGCUUGCUAGCAUCGUUCAAAUGAAAUUAUGUUGCGUUGCGAGAAGCAAGAACGAGAAACUCUCGAUUCGCGUCGUACGUCUAGCGGUGCUUAUACUCAACUUUUACGAGCAACCUCGUCUGAAUAUCUAAUUGUUCUAGUUGUUGAAAGAAGAAAAAAGAAAAAAGAAAAAAGAAAAAAGAAAAAAGAAAAAGUAUGAAAGAAAGAAAGAAAGAAGAAAUAUAAACGAUAACGUAACAGGUAUGGUCGACAUUAACGACCACGAUGAUGUUUCGUUCUUUUCAAGGAAUGACUUGUUCGCAUAUAUGAUAUUUUUCAUCUUUUCUUCAAACCUUUAGAAAUACGCUUAAUAACAACACAGUCUAACUUCUUCCUAUUUAUCAUUGAAAGAAAGAUUUCAACGAGUUAUUAAUUAUCGUAUUAGACAAAUAGCUUUCUAUUCUAUUUAGUUUACGAAACGUUUUUCAACGCUUAUAUAAUGUGCAUACGUAUAUUAUAUAUGAUAAAAUAAUAUAGAAUAAUGUAUAUAAAGGAUAUCUCAGUUAAAUAGGAUCAUCUAAAUAUAUCAUAUGUUUACGAUUGUAUGAAAUAACUUUAUAGGAAAAAGUUUUACCAUAGUGCGGAUGGAAAAAAUGUAUUGGUCGAAAGAAUUUUGUGUCUUUUAAAUUAAAUUUCAAAGCUAUCGAUAUGUUUUUAAAUAAAAUCUUAUAUUUUCUUUUUUGAUAUUUUUCUAAAGCGUACAAAAAAAGAAAAUACCAAACGAAUUUAACGCUCUGACGCAAUUGCAGUUUAUUUUUUAACGUAAUCCAAUUGUUUGCAUUGAAAUAAAAAAAAAAAAAGAAAUAAAAUGAUAGGAAAUCAAAAGCCGUAUUGUUGCCGUAUGAUUUUUGUCCUCUAUCAUUUUUAUCGAUUUUUAUUUGAAAGAAAAAAAAAAAGAAUAAGAACCCGUCCCAGUUCCAAGAAUCAACCUGUGUAUUUAUACGUAUCGAGAUAUUUACUCAUAUAUAUACAUAUACAUAUAUAUACAGUGUUAAAGAAUCACACGUGCGACUUUAAUAUCCGGCAAGGUCGCACGAGCUAAUUCGUUAUCCGUGUCUCAUCGUAAUCUUUUAAAAGUAUUUUCUCGGUUAAGUUCCCCGGUUGUGUUAGUCGAAACCGUGGGGAGCACAUUGUAGUUCAAGGGGGCAGCCGUCUGACAACUCAAUCCCACAUUGGGAGAGGCAUUUCUAUUUUUAACCAUGGGCGGACAGCGGAUUCUAUCCGAGGCUCAUAAACCGGAUUCGUAUCUUGGAAUCUGAGGGGGUAGUAAGGAUGCAUAUGGCGUACGUAUGUACGUACGUACGUAUCUACGUACUUACAUACGCACCUACGUAUUCGUAUAACGCGUCCGGGUCGAUGAAUCUAACGACUAGAAGAUAGAUAAUCGUCCUAGUCAAAAAUAAAUUCGAUUUAAUAUUCUCUUCAAUGAUUUAAUAUAUCGCGUUUAAACUUCUUAACUUGAAACGCAUUAUCUCGUACGUUCCACCACGAUUUGCACGAUUCCGAAAAAAGUGAGAGAGAAAGAGAGAGAGAGACGAAUAAGAAAAAUGAUUUGAUCGGUGAUCAUAAAAUUCCUUCGUUCGGUAUACUCUCCCAUCAUACGAACGUGAAAACGUCGUGGCAGGUACAUACGUGCCCGGUAGUAACAGAGGCCACCUUGAAAAAUCAUGCUCGAGUUCGUCGUUUUAAUGCGCGAACGAGUUCGGGACUUUCGCGUCGUUAAACGUUUUUCCUAACGUAAGUCGCGCGUGUCAUGGGGUUGGAGGGACAAGGGGACGGGGGAAACGGAGGGGAACAAGUAAAAAAGGUAACAAGUAAUCGUCGUGUCUGGUGUACACCGCUCGGACUCCAAAACGAAGCAAGGUUCGGGACAACACGAGAGAGAUGAAGAUUCCACUUUCGGUUUGGUUGAAAAGAAAUUGACUCGAUGAACCAAACAAACAACUAACCAACGAAACAACCAACCAACCUUCCCUUGUUCGAUGAGAUUCGUGGAAAGUUUCCGGCGAGUGAUCACCGGAAGAAAUAAACCCGAUGAAAAGAUCUUAUAUGUCGCCGCCAAUGUAUAAUAGGAACGACGGAACUAGCGCGUAUAACGAUGUGCGUGAAGCAUAAUGCACGGAAAUUUAUGGCGUCGUCUUGGCGCAAAUUACCGCCCUUGAACCGUCCCCAGUGCGUCGCAUUAUUUCACACCGAAACAGGGGAUUAUUUGAUUUCUCGAGAUGCAAAGAGCUCCGCGCCGACUCAGCGGCUUUUCCACGAGCAUGAUCUUCUUGCUACCUACUAUCAACGUAUACCUCUUUUUCUUCUUAUUUCUCGUCGCAUCGAAUACGCUUGAAA